This is a long non-coding RNA of Equus quagga, 313 nucleotides long. RefSeq lists it as uncharacterized. The record is from RefSeq and is a predicted model, not a curated record. NCBI's taxonomy places the organism in Eukaryota, Metazoa, Chordata, Mammalia, Perissodactyla, Equidae. The transcript is spliced from 3 exons.
GAGGACCCAUCCCUUAGGUUCUGGUCCUGGAAUGUGUGGACCAAGUGCCCUGGUCCCUUUGCUAGAGAAAAGGAGUGGGAGUCAGCCAACUGACGGCAGCAGAGGGUGGGGACCAACCCCCAGUACAAAAUCAGGCUUAGUUUCCUGCUUGAGAGGCAUCAUCAGAAGAAGACCCCCAGGAGAAGAGGCGGGACUGACUGAGGUGGCCUGCUUGGAGUGAGGCAGGUGUGGCCAAGCCUCGCUGUCUGCGUGACCGUCAAGGGGCAGGGGCUACAGGUUUCACUCUUCAUUCAACACGUGCUGUCAAAUGUCG